RNAcentral lists this ribosomal RNA (466 nucleotides) under uncultured bacterium. RNAcentral describes it as "partial 16S ribosomal RNA". It matches the Rfam family "Bacterial small subunit ribosomal RNA", at positions 28 to 507 of the family's 1533-position model. The record is from RNAcentral.
GACGAACGCUGGCGGCGUGCUUAACACAUGCAAGUCGAACGGAAAGGCCCUGCUUGCAGGGUACUCGAGUGGCGAACGGGUGAGUAACACGUGGGUGAUCUGCCCUGCUCUUCGGGAUAAGCUUGGGAGACUGGGUCUAAUACCGGAUAGGAGCCAUCUUUAGUGUGGUGGUUGGAAAGUUUUUUCGGUGUAGGAUGAGCUCGCGGCCUAUCAGCUUGUUGGUGGGGUAAUGGCCUACCAAGGCGGCGACGGGUAGCCGGCCUGAGAGGGUGUACGGCCACAUCGGGACUGAGCUACGGCCCAGACUCCUACGGGAGGCAGCAGUGGGGAAUAUUGCACAAUGGGCGCAAGCCUGAGGCAGGGACGCCGCGUGGGCGAUGAAGGCCUUCGGGUUGUAAACACCUGUCGCUAGGGAAGAAGCUUUGUUGUGACGGUACCUAGAUAAGAAGCACCGGCUAACUACGUG